RNAcentral lists this ribosomal RNA (656 nucleotides) under Enterobacter sp. DJM1F10. RNAcentral describes it as "bacterial SSU rRNA". It matches the Rfam family "Bacterial small subunit ribosomal RNA", at positions 831 to 1487 of the family's 1533-position model. Lineage: Bacteria; Pseudomonadati; Pseudomonadota; Gammaproteobacteria; Enterobacterales; Enterobacteriaceae. The record is from RNAcentral.
CUUGAGGCGUGGCUUCCGGAGCUAACGCGUUAAGUCGACCGCCUGGGGAGUACGGCCGCAAGGUUAAAACUCAAAUGAAUUGACGGGGGCCCGCACAAGCGGUGGAGCAUGUGGUUUAAUUCGAUGCAACGCGAAGAACCUUACCUACUCUUGACAUCCAGAGAACUUUCCAGAGAUGGAUUGGUGCCUUCGGGAACUCUGAGACAGGUGCUGCAUGGCUGUCGUCAGCUCGUGUUGUGAAAUGUUGGGUUAAGUCCCGCAACGAGCGCAACCCUUAUCCUUUGUUGCCAGCGGUCCGGCCGGGAACUCAAAGGAGACUGCCAGUGAUAAACUGGAGGAAGGUGGGGAUGACGUCAAGUCAUCAUGGCCCUUACGAGUAGGGCUACACACGUGCUACAAUGGCGCAUACAAAGAGAAGCGACCUCGCGAGAGCAAGCGGACCUCAUAAAGUGCGUCGUAGUCCGGAUUGGAGUCUGCAACUCGACUCCAUGAAGUCGGAAUCGCUAGUAAUCGUAGAUCAGAAUGCUACGGUGAAUACGUUCCCGGGCCUUGUACACACCGCCCGUCACACCAUGGGAGUGGGUUGCAAAAGAAGUAGGUAGCUUAACCUUCGGGAGGGCGCUUACCACUUUGUGAUUCAUGACUGGGGUGAAGUC